CUCAGAGCCCUCCCGGCCCCGCACAGCCCUAGCGAGUGUCUCAGAGCCCUACCGAGUGCCCCGGAGCCCUCCUGGUUGCCUCACAGCCCCACCGGGUGUCUCAGAGCCCUGCCGGCCCCGCACAGCCCUCCCGGGUCCCUCAGAGCCCUCCCGGGCGGCUCCCGGCCGCUGUCGGUCUCCUCACGCUGCCAGAAGGCUGCGAUAGCGUUCGCGGACCAGAUGAGAUGGAUGUUUACAACAGCGUUUCCCCCCACACCAACACGUCCUGUUGGAAGACCUGUGCGUGCUGCAUAUGUGUGUCAGAUACCGAAAUGUAAAGAGGUAAAAAUCUCAAGAGCAGAGGAAGAAGGAGUUCACGGGGGUUUGCACUCUUUCCAAGUUUUCAAGUGUCCAUCCUCACCUGAUGGUCCCAUCAGCAUCUGCUCAAGUCAUGGAAAGACUCUUCUUGUUUUUAAAGAGUUCCUGAUUGUGCAGUUUGGAUAAGAUCUAUAAAGGACCAACAAAAUCUCUGAAGCAUCAUGGUGCCUUCUCUGUACCCAUGGAAAAUGAGGUCUGAAACCAUCUGCACUUCGCCAACGAGCUUAUUCUUAGUUGCCACGAGGCUUUGCGUGGCUGCCCUAAAUUCCUGCCUGGAUCUUGCUUCAGAGCUCACACAGAGUACGAGAUCCAUAAAUGACACCACAUGUAGCUGCUGCUUACAUCUCUCCCAUGGAGACCCCACAGGUGGGAAUGGACUAAUUCAAGUAAUGCCAGAUGGGAACCUCUCCAUAUCCCUGCUUCAUCCUUGUAUCCAUUCACCCUUAAAGCUUGUUGCUGUCCUGCCAUGGGGGGUCCUCCACAGAGCUUUUGAGGAGGAGCCAAGGAAACCUGCUGGGGAACUGGACAUUGUGGCCUGAAUAUAUGGACAUUUUGGGUUUCAUCUGAAACAGUCUCUGGAGCACAUUUAGUGGGUCCUUUGGUUUAGCACAGUACAGAGCUGCAGUGAAGAGGGAGAGAAACAAAAAUCUUAUAUAAUCUUUCAGACUGAAGGAAACAAUUUCACCUGUAUCUGUUUCUGGACUUUGUAUCAUUCUCUGUAGUAUCUUCUGCACUCUGUAUUAUUCCAUUGCUAAAUAUAUUUUGAAACUCUA
Long non-coding RNA from Pipra filicauda (Wire-tailed manakin), 1130 nucleotides. RefSeq lists it as uncharacterized. NCBI's taxonomy places the organism in Eukaryota, Metazoa, Chordata, Aves, Passeriformes, Pipridae. The record is from RefSeq and is a predicted model, not a curated record. The transcript has 2 exons.